RNAcentral lists this ribosomal RNA (492 nucleotides) under uncultured bacterium. RNAcentral's name for it is "partial 16S ribosomal RNA". It matches the Rfam family "Bacterial small subunit ribosomal RNA", at positions 29 to 507 of the family's 1533-position model. The record is from RNAcentral.
AGUGAACGCUGGCGGUAGGCCUAACACAUGCAAGUCGAACGGCAGCACAGUAAGAGCUUGCUCUUACGGGUGGCGAGUGGCGGACGGGUGAGGAAUACAUCGGAAUCUACUUUUUCGUGGGGGAUAACGUAGGGAAACUUACGCUAAUACCGCAUACGACCUACGGGGGAAAGCAGGGGAUCUUCGGACCUUGCGCGAUUGAAUGAGCCGAUGUCGGAUUAGCUAGUUGGCGGGGUAAAGGCCCACCAAGGCGACGAUCCGUAGCUGGUCUGAGAGGAUGAUCAGCCACACUGGAACUGAGACACGGUCCAGACUCCUACGGGAGGCAGCAGUGGGGAAUAUUGGACAAUGGGCGCAAGCCUGAUCCAGCCAUACCGCGUGGGUGAAGAAGGCCUUCGGGUUGUAAAGCCCUUUUGUUGGGAAAGAAAAGCAGCAGGUUAAUACCCCGCUGUUCUGACGGUACCCAAAGGAUAAGCACCGGCUAACUUCGUG